Non-coding RNA from Pelobates cultripes (western spadefoot toad), 211 nucleotides. The record is from the annotation of a GenBank genome assembly. Lineage: Eukaryota; Metazoa; Chordata; Amphibia; Anura; Pelobatidae.
CUUUAAAUGAAUGUGGACGCUAAAUUAUUUGCCACUAUAUUAGCGGCCAGAUUACAAAGAAUUCUUCCAUCCAUUAUUCAACCUGAUCAGAUUGGUUUCAUUUCGGGGAGACAAUCCAGUAACAAUUGCCGACGAAUGUUGGAGAUUCUGGAUUGGGCCCCAACAUACCAGAAUGCCCCUUCUGACCCUGUCGAUAGAUGCAGAGAAAGCC